This is a non-coding RNA of Paramuricea clavata, 1004 nucleotides long. NCBI's taxonomy places the organism in Eukaryota, Metazoa, Cnidaria, Anthozoa, Malacalcyonacea, Plexauridae. The record is from the annotation of a GenBank genome assembly.
GCAUCUACAACAUUGGUAUUCACUUCUAUAAUAAGAACAAUUUCUCUUCUUUUUCUCUCUUGUAAAUAUUCACUUCUAUAAUAAGAACACUUUCUCUUCUUUUUCUCUCUUGUAAAUAUAUAUAUAUAUAUUCCUUUAAUAUUGUGAUUGACUGUAAAUAAUUUAUUACCUAACACAAUACAAACUAGCAUAACUAGAGACCUAAAUAAAAAGUCUACUAAGAUUUCUAGUAGGUAUAUAUCUAGCCCGCACUCUACAAUUAUUGUAAAUAUACUACACAUAAAUUUAUUGUACAUGGGGAAAAUUUUUAAAAUAAAAAAAAAUAAAUAAAAAAAAAAGUACUGAAGACAAUGAUGAUAAAUUAAAACGGAAAGCAGCAAAGAUCGCGAAAGUUAACAUCAGAGAACAGUUGAAGGACGAUUAAAGGGAAGUAAAUAUAACUGUGUAGACUGUUGUUGUUAAAAAUUUAUAAUUCGUUUAAAUUUGUUAGGGGAGUGUGUGAUGAACUCUGAACAGUAAUAGCUAUAUUUAGAGACACGCGCAAUAUUACCUUAUAUGGUAUAAUGACUUUGUUAUUGUUCAAGAGUAUAGACAAGGUUAAAUGAUUUUCUUUUCUAUACUUAUACAUUUAUUGUAAAUCUAGCUAAUUAUAAGGUAACUUUCAAUGGUGCAUGAAUUGACUACUUGAAUCGUCUGAAUCACAACUGGUAUUUUUUAGUUAAACUAGUAAACAAAUACAUGCAAGUAUACACAUACAAGUAAGAUAUUUCAAAAUUGUAAUAGAUCAGAAUUUUCUCAUUACUUAUUUUGGCAACAGAAGAUGCAAUAAAAAUCUAAUACCAAUAGACAUAAUUUUUCUAACGCAGUGCAUUAUGUGUCUAUAAUUCAGUAUCAAAACCAAUAAUAUUUUCUAGUAUCUUUAUAAAUGUGCAACACUCUUUCGUAAAAACACCUAGAGAGCUCACAGAAAUAUAUAUUUACCAAUAUAGGUAACAUCAUUAACC